UUAAGCGACUAAGCGUACACGGUGGAUGCCCUGGCAGUCAGAGGCGAUGAAGGACGUGCUAAUCUGCGAAAAGCGUCGGUAAGGUGAUAUGAACCGUUAUAACCGGCGAUGUCCGAAUGGGGAAACCCAGUGCAAUUCGUUGCACUAUCGUUAACUGAAUACAUAGGUUAACGAGGCGAACCGGGGGAACUGAAACAUCUAAGUACCCCGAGGAAAAGAAAUCAACCGAGAUUCCCCCAGUAGCGGCGAGCGAACGGGGAGCAGCCCAGAGUCUGAAUCAGCUUGUGUGUUAGUGGAACGGUCUGGAAAGUCCGACGGUACAGGGUGAUAGUCCCGUACACCAAAAUGCACAGGCUGUGAACUCGAAGAGUAGGGCGGGACACGUGGUAUCCUGUCUGAAUAUGGGGGGACCAUCCUCCAAGGCUAAAUACUCCUGACUGACCGAUAGUGAACCAGUACCGUGAGGGAAAGGCGAAAAGAACCCCGGCGAGGGGAGUGAAAAAGAACCUGAAACCGUGUACGUACAAGCAGUGGGAGCACCUUCGGGUGUGACUGCGUACCUUUUGUAUAAUGGGUCAGCGACUUAUAUUCUGUAGCAAGGUUAACCGUAUAGGGGAGCCGCAGGGAAACCGAGUCUUAACUGGGCGUUAAGUUGCAGGGUAUAGACCCGAAACCCGGUGAUCUAGCCAUGGGCAGGUUGAAGGUUGGGUAACACUAACUGGAGGACCGAACCGACUAAUGUUGAAAAAUUAGCGGAUGACUUGUGGCUGGGGGUGAAAGGCCAAUCAAACCGGGAGAUAGCUGGUUCUCCCCGAAAGCUAUUUAGGUAGCGCCUCGUGAAUUCAUCUUCGGGGGUAGAGCACUGUUUCGGCUAGGGGGUCAUCCCGACUUACCAACCCGAUGCAAACUACGAAUACCGAAGAAUGUUAUCACGGGAGACACACGGCGGGUGCUAACGUCCGUCGUGAAGAGGGAAACAACCCAGACCGCCAGCUAAGGUCCCAAAGUCAUGGUUAAGUGGGAAACGAUGUGGGAAGGCACAGACAGCCAGGAUGUUGGCUUAGAAGCAGCCAUCAUUUAAAGAAAGCGUAAUAGCUCACUGGUCGAGUCGGCCUGCGCGGAAGAUGUAACGGGGCUAAACCAUGCACCGAAGCUGCGGCAGCGACACUAUGUGUUGUUGGGUAGGGGAGCGUUCUGUAAGCCUGCGAAGGUGACCUGUGAGGGUUGCUGGAGGUAUCAGAAGUGCGAAUGCUGACAUAAGUAACGAUAAAGCGGGUGAAAAGCCCGCUCGCCGGAAGACCAAGGGUUCCUGUCCAACGUUAAUCGGGGCAGGGUGAGUCGACCCCUAAGGCGAGGCCGAAAGGCGUAGUCGAUGGGAAACAGGUUAAUAUUCCUGUACUUGGUGUUACUGCGAAGGGGGGACGGAGAAGGCUAUGUUAGCCGGGCGACGGUUGUCCCGGUUUAAGCAUGUAGGCUGGUUGUCCAGGCAAAUCCGGAUAAUCAAGGCUGAGGUGUGAUGACGAGGCACUACGGUGCUGAAGUAACAAAUGCCCUGCUUCCAGGAAAAGCCUCUAAGCAUCAGGUAACAUCAAAUCGUACCCCAAACCGACACAGGUGGUCAGGUAGAGAAUACCAAGGCGCUUGAGAGAACUCGGGUGAAGGAACUAGGCAAAAUGGUGCCGUAACUUCGGGAGAAGGCACGCUGGUGUGUAGGUGAAGUCCCUGCGGAUGGAGCUGAGACCAGUCGAAGAUACCAGCUGGCUGCAACUGUUUAUUAAAAACACAGCACUGUGCAAACACGAAAGUGGACGUAUACGGUGUGACGCCUGCCCGGUGCCGGAAGGUUAAUUGAUGGGGUUAUCCGUAAGGAGAAGCUCUUGAUCGAAGCCCCGGUAAACGGCGGCCGUAACUAUAACGGUCCUAAGGUAGCGAAAUUCCUUGUCGGGUAAGUUCCGACCUGCACGAAUGGCGUAAUGAUGGCCAGGCUGUCUCCACCCGAGACUCAGUGAAAUUGAACUCGCUGUGAAGAUGCAGUGUACCCGCGGCAAGACGGAAAGACCCCGUGAACCUUUACUAUAGCUUGACACUGAACAUUGAGCCUUGAUGUGUAGGAUAGGUGGGAGGCUUUGAAGCGUGGACGCCAGUCUGCGUGGAGCCAACCUUGAAAUACCACCCUUUAAUGUUUGAUGUUCUAACGUUGGCCCCUUACCGGGGUUGCGGACAGUGUCUGGUGGGUAGUUUGACUGGGGCGGUCUCCUCCCAAAGCGUAACGGAGGAGCACGAAGGUUAGCUAAUCCUGGUCGGACAUCAGGAGGUUAGUGCAAUGGCAUAAGCUAGCUUGACUGCGAGCGUGACGGCGCGAGCAGGUGCGAAAGCAGGUCAUAGUGAUCCGGUGGUUCUGAAUGGAAGGGCCAUCGCUCAACGGAUAAAAGGUACUCCGGGGAUAACAGGCUGAUACCGCCCAAGAGUUCAUAUCGACGGCGGUGUUUGGCACCUCGAUGUCGGCUCAUCACAUCCUGGGGCUGAAGUAGGUCCCAAGGGUAUGGCUGUUCGCCAUUUAAAGUGGUACGCGAGCUGGGUUUAGAACGUCGUGAGACAGUUCGGUCCCUAUCUGCCGUGGGCGCUGGAGAAUUGAGGGGGGCUGCUCCUAGUACGAGAGGACCGGAGUGGACGCAUCACUGGUGUUCGGGUUGUCAUGCCAAUGGCACUGCCCGGUAGCUAAAUGCGGAAGAGAUAAGUGCUGAAAGCAUCUAAGCACGAAACUUGCCCCGAGAUGAGUUCUCCCUGAGACUUUAAGUCUCCUGAAGGAACGUUGAAGACGACGACGUUGAUAGGCCGGGUGUGUAAGCGCAGCGAUGCGUUGAGCUAACCGGUACUAAUGAACCGUGAGGCUUAACCU
Molecule: ribosomal RNA, 2899 nt
Filed under: Klebsiella pneumoniae
Lineage: Bacteria; Pseudomonadati; Pseudomonadota; Gammaproteobacteria; Enterobacterales; Enterobacteriaceae
Description: 23S ribosomal RNA
Rfam family: Bacterial large subunit ribosomal RNA
Source: RNAcentral